UACAGAGGUCUCAAGCGUUGUUCGGAUUCAUUGGGCGUAAAGGGUGUGUAGGUGGCGCCGUAAGUCGGGUGUGAAAUCUCGGGGCUUAACUCCGAAACUGCAUUCGAUACUGCGGUGCUUGAGGACUGGAGAGGAGACUGGAAUUCAUGGUGUAGCAGUGAAAUGCGUAGAGAUCAUGAGGAAGACCAGUGGCGAAGGCGGGUCUCUGGACAGUUCCUGACACUGAGACACGAAGGCCAGGGGAGCGAACAGG
Molecule: ribosomal RNA, 253 nt
Filed under: uncultured bacterium
Lineage: Bacteria
Description: partial 16S ribosomal RNA
Rfam family: Bacterial small subunit ribosomal RNA
Source: RNAcentral